GGAGCGGUAGCGAAGAGGCUAAACGCGUCAGACUGUAAAUCUGAUCCCUACGGGUUCGGUGGUUCGAAACCACCCCGCUCCACCA
This 85-nucleotide transfer RNA is filed under the name bacterium. Its description in RNAcentral is "tRNA-Tyr". It matches the Rfam family "tRNA". Rfam says of the family: Transfer RNA (tRNA) molecules are approximately 80 nucleotides in length. Their secondary structure includes four short double-helical elements and three loops (D, anti-codon, and T loops). RNAcentral also lists the same sequence under 1 other name. The record is from RNAcentral.